UGGGGAAUAUUGCACAAUGGAGGGAACUCUGAUGCAGCGACGCCGCGUUAACGAAGAAGGCUUUCGAGUCGUAAAGUUCUUUUAUAUGGGAAGAUAAUGACGGUACCAUAAGAAAAAGCCCCGGCUAACUACGUGCCAGCAGCCGCGGUAAUACGUAGGGGGCUAGCGUUGUCCGGAAUCACUGGGCGUAAAGGGUUCGCAGGCGGAAAUGCAAGUCAGGUGUAAAAGGCAGUAGCUUAACUACUGUAAGCAUUUGAAACUGCAUAUCUAGAAAAGAGGAGAGGUAAGUGGAAUUUUUAGUGUAGCGGUGAAAUGCGUAGAUAUUAAAAAGAAUACCGGUGGCGAAGGCGACUUACUGGGCUCAUUCUGACGCUGAGGAACGAAAGCGUGGGUAGCAAACAGG
RNAcentral lists this ribosomal RNA (403 nucleotides) under Fusobacteriota bacterium. RNAcentral's name for it is "Fusobacteria bacterium partial 16S ribosomal RNA". It matches the Rfam family "Bacterial small subunit ribosomal RNA", at positions 355 to 776 of the family's 1533-position model. The record is from RNAcentral. Lineage: Bacteria; Fusobacteriati; Fusobacteriota.